GACAAAGUUAGAUUCAACAACCAGUUAUCAUUUUGAUAAUUAAAUAUUUGAAUUUCAAACAUUUGAAGUUAGAUCUUCCAAUGUUCUGUCGUUUUUUAUGUUAAAUAUCAGCAAAGUUACAGGGCGACCAACAUAAUACAAGGUACCUCCUUUUUUUUCAGACAAUCAAAAGUAUUUACACUCUAAAGCUGUUUUCUGCGAGACAGAAAAUACUGUUGGGCCUCAAUACUACAAUCUUACUUAUCAGAGUGUGUUUUCAAUAGAUAAAAAGGAACGACAAAGUUAGAUUCAACAACCAGUUAUCAUUUUGAUAAUUAAAUAUUUGAAUUUCAAACAUUUGAAGUUAGAUCUUCCAAUGUUCUGUCGUUUUUUAUGUUAAAUAUCAGCAAAGUUACAGGGCGACCAACAUAAUACAAGGUACCUCCUUUUUUUUCAGACAAUCAAAAGUAUUUACACUCUAAAGCUGUUUUCUGCGAGACAGAAAAUACUGUUGGGCCUCAAUACUACAAUCUUACUUAUCAGAGUGUGUUUUCAAUAGAUAAAAAGGAACGACAAAGUUAGAUUCAACAACCAGUUAUCAUUUUGAUAAUUAAAUAUUUGAAUUUCAAACAUUUGAAGUUAGAUCUUCCAAUGUUCUGUCGUUUUUUAUGUUAAAUAUCAGCAAAGUUACAGGGCGACCAACAUAAUACAAGGUACCUCCUUUUUUUUCAGACAAUCAAAAGUAUUUACACUCUAAAGCUGUUUUCUGCGAGACAGAAAAUACUGUUGGGCCUCAAUACUACAAUCUUACUUAUCAGAGUGUGUUUUCAAUAGAUAAAAAGGAACGACAAAGUUAGAUUCAACAACUUUAAGAAAACCUGAAUCGUUAUAUUCUGUUAUCAGCACUGCACUAAAAACUGUUACCUGUGUCACUCCUUCCAGCGUCCGUGAAUGUCUGACCCACGAAAAGCCAGAGGCGUAAUCUUGUGUGACGUUGAAGCAACCCUGUUAAAUGUAUUACUGCUUACUGAUGAUGGUGUUUGGAUGCUGUUACUAUUGUUCACAGGACAUAUAUUUUCAAUCCUGAUGGAACUUUUCAAAAUAUGGAGACAUGUUAUUGGCAAAGACUAAAGAUUUUGAAGGACUUAAAGUCACUAUAGAUUUUGCCACUGCUGCUCAAAUAUUACGUCCACGCAAACGAAAAAUAGCUUACGUUUAAAAGGAAGUAUUCUGUUGGAGAGAAACUAUUGUACAAAGACUUCAUUAACUGUGCCAAAGAUAAUUAGGAAAUUUUGUCAUAUCUUCCAUAAGUUUAAAACAGAUCUUUAUUUCAUAAUUUUCAUUUUUUUCUCCAAUAUUACGCUUUGCUCUCCAGUAUUUUACUCAUUAAAUAAGCCUGCUGUAGAUAAUAACAGUACCAUAUCAGUACGAAAGUGAUUUAAGACAGUGUAUUUUGUAAAUGAAAAUUACUUUAUGUUUUAUGAGGAUAGAAUUCUUGACUUCCUAAUGUAUGAACACUAUGUCAAUAAUAAAGAUAAAUAAAAUAUU
This is a long non-coding RNA of Schistocerca gregaria, 1527 nucleotides long. RefSeq lists it as uncharacterized. The transcript has 2 exons. NCBI's taxonomy places the organism in Eukaryota, Metazoa, Arthropoda, Insecta, Orthoptera, Acrididae. The record is from RefSeq and is a predicted model, not a curated record.